RNAcentral lists this small RNA (251 nucleotides) under Staphylococcus aureus. RNAcentral's name for it is "Antisense". Lineage: Bacteria; Bacillati; Bacillota; Bacilli; Caryophanales; Staphylococcaceae. The record is from RNAcentral.
UCAAUAAAAAAUUGUUCCCAUUUUGACAUCUCAUUUAAAUUAGACAUAUCUUUUUUAUUUAAUAUAACAACACGUGGUUUUUGGUUAAUAACUUCAUCUAUCAUAGGGUUUCUUGAACUAUAUGGAAUUCUUGCAUCUACUAGUUCAAACACUACAUCUACUUUUUUAAUUGUUCACUUACUUCUCUUUUGGCUUUCGCCAUAUGUCCUGGAUACCAUUGAAUAACCAUUCAAUUCACCUUACUUUCGUCA